CUCCCGCAUCCCUCCCGAGCAGACGCCUCGGAAGCGCGAAGAUGGAAAACAAGCUGGGAGCACUGCCAUGUCGGCUCUGGGAACGGCGCGUGCGUGUUCACCCUGAUGCACGUUGUUGUGGAGGGAGCCCCCGCCUCGUGGGGGGAGCCCCCAUCUCGUGGAGGGAACCCACAUCUCGUGGAGGGAGCCCUCAUCUCGUGGGGGGAGCCCUCAUCUCGUGGGGGGAGCCCCCAUCUCGUGGAGGGAGCCCCCAUCUCGUGGAGGGAACCCUCAUCUCGUGGAGGGAGCCCCCAUCUCGUGGAGGGAACCCACAUCUCGUGGAGGGAGCCCUCAUCUCGUGGAGGGAGCCCCCAUCUCGUGGAGGGAGCCCUCAUCUCGUGGAGGGAGCCCUCAUCUCGUGGAGGGAGCCCCCAUCUCGUGGAGGGAACCCUCAUCUCGUGGAGGGAGCCCCCAUCUCGUGGAGGGAGCCCCCAUCUCGUGGAGGGAGCCCUCAUCUCGUGGAGGGAGCCCCCAUCUCGUGGAGGGAGCCCCCAUCUCGUGGAGGGAACCCACAUCUCGUGGAGGGAGCCCUCAUCUCGUGGGGGGAGCCCACAUCUCGUGGAGGGAGCCCCCAUCUCAUGGAGGGAACCCCCAUCUCGUGGAGGGAGCCCUCAUCUCGUGGGAGGAGCCCACAUCUCACGGAGGGAGCCCCCAUCUCGUGGAGGGAACCCACAUCUUGUGGAGGGAGCCCUCAUCUCAUGGGAAGCCCCCAUCUCAUGGAGGGAACCCCAUCUCCUGGAGAGAGGGUUUGGGCUGAAACUCUGGGGAUGUGCGAUCAAAGAGACUGAGUUGCUUCCUGACACAGCUGCUUAACAGCUUGUCAAGCCGUGACUCUGUGUGUCACAGUAGCGUUCCUGGGCGGUCACCUGCACCCGCAGCCAUCGCCAGCACCUGUUCCAGCCCCGAGCUCGGCCGGGACACAACAGUUGCGCCACGUCCUUGUUCAGAUCAGGCGUCCGGGGCUGUUUCUUGCGGGUCCUGACCACCAGGACACCUUUUUCCCAAUUAAAUCAGCACUCGCGACUAAAACAGUCACGGUUGACCGUUAUUCAGUUCUCGUUGGGUGUCCUUGGCACACAUUGAUUCUUCCUACCGCCGUGU
Molecule: long non-coding RNA, 1140 nt
Filed under: Canis lupus familiaris (dog)
Lineage: Eukaryota; Metazoa; Chordata; Mammalia; Carnivora; Canidae
Description: lncRNA (ENSCAFG00030003372.1)
Source: RNAcentral